GUUUAAUCAUCUUUUCAAUGAAAACAUGCCUUUCUACAGCUCCAAGCUUGGUAACAUCAGUUACUCUUUUCGUCUUAACAUUGGCCUCAUUGCCAUUGACUUCCUCAAAUACAGAUGAUCUCAACCUGUCAUACGUUGGCAGUCUCUCAAUUGCUGCCCAAGCCAACAUGUUCUCCUCAUCCACAACGUCCUUUUCAGAAGCACUCAA
Molecule: unclassified non-coding RNA, 208 nt
Filed under: Hevea brasiliensis (rubber tree)
Lineage: Eukaryota; Viridiplantae; Streptophyta; Magnoliopsida; Malpighiales; Euphorbiaceae
Source: RNAcentral